UUGUCUCAAAUCCUUCUUAUCUUGUUGUUUGUAAAGAUACACCACUUUUACUAAACAUCCUAUUUCUAACUUUGUCUCUUAUGAUCACUUGUCCAUCUCUUUUAGAGCCUUCUCUGCCUUUUUCUCGUCUAUUACUCUUUCUAAGUCUUAAAGUGAGUCUCUUUCUCAUCUACUGGAAGACGGUAAUGGGAGAGGAAAUGUACUCUUUAUAGUGGAAUCACAUAUGAGAACAUGUACACAAGUUAGUUGAUAUUCUAAUUGUUGGGUGUUGUUGGGUCUUUACCAUAAAAGUUUCUAUAGCAUAUUUUCAUAUAAAAUCUCUUCUCAAACCCUUCAAAUCAUAUUGAUUCAUAUUGGACAAAAAUAAUAAUAAUAAUAACAAUUGAAUUCUAAAUUUUUUGCUACUUGAAAAAUCGUAAAUAAUUAGAUUGCAUAAAAUUUUCUCUACAUAAUUAAAUAAGUAAAUAAAUAAAAAAUAAAUAAACAAAUAUAUAAAAUUUUACAUUAAAAAAAGGUGAGUGUGGCGUAGAAGAGCAUUACUAGAAUUUUAAAUUUAAAUGUGAAAAAAAUAAAAAAAUAAAAAGUGAUUCCAUGGGAGGCUAGAAAAGUGGCCUAUUUCAAAUUGAUAUAUGGAAGAAAAAAAAAGGAAGGCAAAGAAGAGGAAUGAAGAGUUGAGAAGAGUGGACUGUUUCAAACUGAAAUAGAUAAAUAAAAAUAAAAUAAAACCUAGUGCAAAAGGCAAAAAGAGGAGUGGAGAGUUGAGUUGGUGGGGUGGUCUCUCAAAUUAAAAAAAAAAAAAAUAAGAUGAAGUGCAUAGAGAAAUUGAGCAAGAUUUUUGUGGCAUGGGAAAGAGAGAAAGGGAGAAUAAGAGAAGUGGAAGAGAUGGAGAUGGAGAGAGGAUAAAACAGAAGAGGAAUUGUCAGUGUGAGGGUGGGACACCAAUGAUGCCUUAGAUGAGAGGUAGUAGAUAUUGAGAGAGCACCACUCUGAGAAACACUAAGUUAGGUUGUUCCUCCCUCAAAUCCAAUUCUAUUAUAUUUUUAUUUAUUUAUUUUCUUUUUGGUCACUUGCAUCUUUUUCACCUAUGGCUAGUAAAAAAAUUGUAAUAAUAAUUAUAUGUAUUGCUGCAAAUCUAGACUGGUUCCUCAUCAACUUGAUGUCAAGAACGUCUUCCACUCUUCCUUCAUAGCAACUUCAAUGACAUAGUGUUCACUGUUCAACCAUGUAGGUUUGAAUCAAAGCUAAUUAAUCAAUAUGUUUCAGAAGGACUGAUCAUCAUGGUAGUUUAGUCUUGAUAGUAUAUGUAGAGGGUAUUGAGACUUUGAUUCAUGACCACAUACCAGCUUUCACACUAAAGAUGUUGGUAAGCUUUGUUAGUUUCUAGGUAUUGAAGUUGCAUGAUCAAAUAAAGGUAUUUGUCUCUCAAAGGAAAUACAUUUUUUAUAAAAUAUCUUUAUAACAAUAACAGGUACAAAUAUUAAAUCGGUUGGGACUGAGACUGGCAGUGAAAAGAAAAAGGAGUGAUGGCAGAGGAUAGUUCACCCAAAAGGGAGAUGAGAUGAACUAUCGAUUCUCCGAUAAAUGUCAAUGACUUAAUAUGUUUCCAGGGUCUUUACUUGAUCCAGGAUGUGUGAUGUAUAUGCCAUUCUGAAGUGAUCUAUUAAUCUGCUAAUAAUUUGUUUCAUGGCAAUUCCAUCUUGGCACUAAACUUGUUGUUAUGCCUAUGAUAACAAAUUAAAAAUUGAUAAAUGAUGGUGAGUUAGCAGAUGAUCUUGGAUCGUAUAGGACAUCGGUCGAAAAGCUGGUUUACUUGACCAUCACUCAGCCAGUCUCACAACCAAUUUUGGGUUUCUCACUUGAAUGCAAUGAUAUGAAUUUUGAAACAUCUCAAGGGAACUCUUGUUCAUGGUCUUCUUUAUCAAUCCUUAGAACAUUUCUUAUUGAAGGAUAUUCUAAUUCUGAUUGGGCAGGAUAUAUAUAUAUAUGAGGUAAUCUCAUAACCCAGAGAAGCAAGAAACAAUCCAUUGGUGCUUGUUCUAGUGCAUAGGUAGGGUAUCGGGCAAUGAAAAAUACAGUACGUGAUUUGACUUGGUUGAAAAGCUUUUUGCAAGAAAAUGGCAUACCAGUACCUGAUACAUCUUUCUACUAUGACAAUCAAGCAAUCAUUUAUAUUGCUAGCAAUUCUAUUUUUCAUGAAAAAGCAAAGCACAUGGAAGUAGAUUUUCACUUUGUUUGCUCAAAAGUGGACCCAAAGGAAAUUAUUACUCCAUUUGCAUCAUCGAAGAACCAACCUACUAACAUAUUUGCCAAUGCUCUUCUAAAAUAAGUUAUUGACUCUAUUUGUAACAUGGUAGGAGAUUUAAGGGGGAGUGUCUUACUACAUGUCUCGUGCUGCAUGCAUUGCAGCCAUUUUCAUUUAAAAGAAAAUGUAUUUAGGGGGAACAUAUUGACAUUCAUUAUUGCUAUUUGUAAUGGAUUUAUAUGCCCUUUCUUUCUUUUCAUGCUAAUUUGUGAUGGAUUUGGAGGUUUACAAAACUCUCUUGAAUGUUUAUUUUUAGCUGCAUGGAUGUUUCUCUAAUGAGAAGAUGCUCUUAGGUUUACAUGCCUUCUGCUUUGUCCUCUUCUAUUGGAUUCACUUUUUCAUUGAGUCUUCCUCUUACCAUUUUAUGGAAUUUGUAAUGUCUCAUUCAAACAGUUAAUAUCAUCUGUAUCAUCACUGGUCUAUAACCAUCCUCUCAUUAGUGCCCGAAGAACAUUGAAGAGAUCUAAGUUACAUGAGAGCAUUUGAAGAGCGUUUUAUGCUAUUUAUGGCACUGAAUUUUUUGAAUUCUAUUAACUUCAUGCAGGGCUGAUGUUGCUGUGGCUAUCUUGUGGGCCUUAUUCUUUAGUGUGCUUCUUGUAUCAUCCUGUAUGACCUUUUACUUCAGAUAUUUCCAUCUUUCUUCCAUCACCGUCUGCCUUGUUAUUCUUCUUCUUAUUCGACUAAGAGCUUCUAAGAAGGCAUUUGCAAGGAAGAAAGAAAGAAGAUUGUUGUUACCUUUGUCCAUGUGAACAUCUAUAGCCAGUGGUGUAAAGGUAGCACAAUAGCUUGGUCAAUUUGUUCUGUUGCUCACUUCUAAGUUCUGAUACAUGUGGAUUUUAUUUAAACUUUAUAUGCUUGGAGUACUGAUCUUGAUCAACAAGAAUUCUCACCAUCCUCCUGAAAUAGAUGGUAUGGUCCCUAUUCCUCCCUCAUAGCCAUACACGAUAGCCAUGAGAAUUUUCUGGACAAUCUCUUUUAUGUGUAAAUAGGUCACAGUUGAAUGAGGUUAGAGGUUUGCUAAUUCAUAAAUUUCCCAUUGGCUUGUACAUUUUAUUCAGUCCAAGGAAUUGUAUAUUGAAGUAUGCUUUAGAUUAAGUUAGUAGAUGCUUGUCAUUUCAGUAUUGAGACAGAACAGGCAGUACUGGCCAGCAAAUUAAAGACAAAAAUCUAAAGACUUCAUAACAAAGAAAAAAACAAAAUUAAAACAAGUUAAACCUGUAGAAUCAUACUGCUAAAUAGGCAGAAUUUGACUGGUAAGGUAGGUUUCUGAUGCCUUUUUUGGUUUUUUUCCAUUUUUUGGGGUUCACUUUUUUCUGUUCUGGGACAUUGAUUGUAGUGUCUCACCCAUACAAACUCAGCAUGUUUUCUAGGGAAGUUAUUAUCUUAAGCUCAUUGUGAAAUAAUACACUUAAGGUAUCUUAAUUAGAAGAGAAUUACUCAUGGACCUUAACGGUCUAGUUAGUUUGACAAGUAAUCUCUUACUUCAAUAUCAAUGAGUAUCCACUACUCAUUGUACAUGUUCCAUAUAAGCAUGUAAACAGCAAAUGAGAAAUCUUUAAAAGAUAACACCAUAGCCAUUUUAGUAUAUAAACUGUUCAAUAGUUUAAGUGUAUGUGCUGGCUUUAAAUCUGCCUAUUUGUCGGGAAACAAUUUAAUUGUAGGGAGAAUCUCACUUACAGACUAGAUGGAUGCAUGCAUGAGGCUUGCUCAAGCAGCUACCCAGUUGCAAGGAUUUUGGAGUGAAAUUAUAACUCAUGAGACAGUUUAGAAAGACUCUUCAAUUGUGUAAGGAUUCUAAGGAUAAUAUGGAAGAGAGAGAGAGAGAGAACGGGUAUUCAAACUGCAAUAAAAAGUAGGAGGAUUGCAUCCCUUCUAUAGUAUAUAGAUAUCAUAAUUCUAGAUGUUCUUUAUUCACUCCUGAAAAGUAGGAGUAAAAUAUAAAACUAUAGACACUCUGGAUUGGCUUCAUUUGAUUUUAAUAGGCUCAAAAAUCUGAAAUUGUUAACCUUUUGUGCUACAUUUGGAAUUUUCUUGCUCACUGAUCUCUUCUAAGCCAGAGUUGUGAUACAAACCUGUUUUGUUGUUUAAUAAAUGGGAUAGGCUACGGCAAAUAUGAUGAUGACACCUUUUUGCAUGCAGUAUUUCUUGAAAUCAAUAUUUAUCUUGUGAUUAUUGAUUGAGUUUAAGGCUAAGAAAUUAUUUGUUUCAAAUUAUUUUGCCUUUCUUUUAUUUUUUAAAAACAAAGGACACAUUCUUUUUCCUUGUUUGUUUAAAAGACAAAGAACUAGAUAGAAUUUAUAGAUAUUGUCAAGUUCAACAAGUGCAGUGUCAUUGCAUUCAUUGCCUGUUUAAGCUGUUUGCAUUCUAUAAGCACCUUUUCUGUAGUGGUCCCCCCCUGGGACCAUUUGGCUGUGUUCCCCUCAGAGAUAGCUCAAGGUACUAUCAUCAGCAGGAGACGAUAAAAAUAACAAAAUAAAAUAAAAACUGAGGGUAAUGGGUGGCAUACAGGAGACAUGAUUGCUUUUAUUUAAUGAGUACCGGGCCCUUCAAAACAUGCCUUCAAAGGAAUGCGGGGGGGCUUCCCAUCUUUUUGUUGGACCAUAGAUGAGUAUAGUGCAUAAACGAUACCCAUAAAUGAUUGCUGUAUUACACUGUUUUUAUAGUGCAAAGCAUAUGUUGGUUAGUUAGAUACGAGAUUGAGUAGAUAGUAUGGAUGAUUCCAUGUUGCUUUUCCUAGCCAUGUCUUUUACAAAAGGAUAUGGUUUCCAACUCUUCUCUCCUUUUCAAAUCUUCAAAGUGAUUGCAUAGAUUUCAAAUUAAAUUGGAGGCAACUAAGGUUGUGUAAAAAAUGCAGUUACUAUCAGUGACUAGAUCAGUUUAAAUAUGUGGUAUGCCAUUUGGCUCAUCAGCUGUUUAUGAUCCAUUCAGCCUCUACGUACUGGCGUGGUGCAUUAUAAUGUUAUUUUAAAGGUGGUGGCAUUAGGAAACACCUUUUUGAAAUGUGCCAGUGGCGUGAAGCUCAGUUUGACAUUAAGCAGUCAAGACAUGGGUCAAAAUUUUCUUCUAGAUAUGUUAUUAUGUGCAGUGGAAUGCUUUGGGAAUAUGUGAAAUGCCUUAAUAUUUUACUUUUAGCUUCCAGUGCUAAUUCAAAAGAAUUUCAAUAUCAGAUUUGUUUAUUGGUAUAAAUGUGGACGUAACCAUUAGAAUAAUUUCAUUAAGAAGAGUGAGCUUGGAAGCAACUUCAAAAAAUAGUGGGUUACGAUUGAACUUUUCAUAUUGAAUUUUCAUAGCUUCUGUGCAGGUACCAACUUCCUCUUCCCUGGUUAGUGUAAAGAUGUUAUCUGAAAUGAAAAGGCAGUAUUCAAAUGAAGUUACAGUUGUGUCCUGACUGAGCUUUGAAAAACAUACCAGAGAAGUUGUAUCAAGUUAAUCUGUUGCCCUUUGAGAAGUCAUUCUUCCCGUAAGGUUUGUUUCCAAACACACCAAAAGAACUGUUUCUUUCAAUGAAGCUAUGAAUUCAAUUUUGGUAGGAAAUGUACUCCAUCAAGCCUUUUCUAUUAUGAUACUUGCCUGCUAGGGGUCUGUAGCCAAUUAGCUUUAUAUUGAUCAAGAUUAUACACCUUUUAUCCAAAAGGAAAAGGAAAAGGAAAAGUGAUUCUUGUAGGUUCCAAAGGGAACAUCUUAUGUAAUGCCUGGUGCUCUAUACACGGAAGCCACCUUCUUUCCUUUUCUCUCUCAUCGAGUUUUUGAUGUGAUAGAAGAUUUAUCCGAAGAUGAUGCUUUAAUAGCAAUUCAGCUCUUUAAUCCAGUCCAUCGACUCUAAAACACUUGGGUUUAGUUGUCACAUGAUUAAUAGGCACCUUUUUGUUGAUAAGACAAGGCAAAUGCUCAGUUACAAUUGUUCAAAAGGCCGAAAUUCUCGGCCAAUGAAUACUCUACCACUAAGUUUAAAUUAAGUUUAUUUCUUUUCUCUCUUUUGGGUUACAUUAGCCUAAUGCCAUCAUGGGGAGCCUUAGUGUUGAACUAAUACCGAUUAAAAGUAUUAUUAGGAACUGACCCUGAUGUUGGCUUCUCGCACUCUUUUAACUCUUUGAUGGGGGACCGCAGGCUCAAUGCCUCAUAGCCGAAAGUAAAAGUCAGUGAACCUAAUAAGUUUUUCCCAUCCCAAGCUAAAAGGCUAGGUUCAUCUCAUUUUCAUGCUGAAAACCUUCUGUUCCUGAGAAGUACUAAAGGCACAAAGUUACAAGUAUGAGUGGGGGGCACAAGUUCCAUUUAUAUAAGUCCUAGGGGGGCUGGCCAUUCUCGUGCCUUUACUUUUUGACCAGCUGCUUCACUUAACUUUUGUAGGCCUAUGUUGCCUGGAUGAUUAGUUGGGAAAGGGAUCCAUUCGGUAUCUCAGAUGCUUCUUCCCCCAAUAGCUUCUUAAGACUGAUGGUUGAUCCAUUUCACUGUCCUAUUAGUUUGACCUUGACCUGAGCCCGAUCGAUCUGAUUAUUGGAAUCCAUAACCAGCCAUGCCACUUAUCAAAAAGAAAAGGAAGAAGAAAAUGAAAUUUCCCUUGGCUUGGCUGUUAUGGCAUGACAAGACACCAAAAUAUGUAAUUUUGCGUAAAUAUGAUCAUCCAAAAGAGGGCCACCAAAUAAUCCAGGCAGUGUGGUCAAAGUUUGGAUGGUAUGAUUUGGCCUGGAAAUGUCUUGGUAUUGAUUGAGGCCACGUUUUUCCAAACAGCGCGUGAGCAAUCAUUGAGGGUCUACUACUUAUGCCCUGCUAAAAUGAUGAUGCUCCGAGCGCCCCCACAUUCUUCUCUCCGACGUUGACACAAUCAUCUCUCCUUCCUACUAUACUACUAUUACUACUCUUUUAACACUUGCUUUACCAUCUCUCCCGCCUUUCCUCAUCCUCCCACUUGCUUCUCCUCCCUUUUGCACCUAACCUCAGCUCACCCUCUCUCCUUUAAUCUUUCAGCACUGGACCCUGGACAGUGGCAUGGGAAGUUGUCGGCUUACACAAUGAACUCUUUGAUAGAUAUAUGGUAGACCUGUAAUUUGGAAGCUUGUCUCUAUGGUCAACAUUAUUAGUACUGCCUAACUUUUAAAUCUGUCAACAACUCUCUCUCUCUUUUCACACCCAGCUCAAUCCACUUAGGAAAUAAUCAAGGGGUAUUGUCCCGUUCCUAUCAAGAGUGGGAUAACUUCAAGUUUAAACAUUUUCCUCCCACGUAUUUAAAACCAAAACAUUGCAUCAGCAUCGUUGACCGGCUAAAUACCUUGGUCGCAAUUAUAGAGAAAGCAGAUGCUGUUGAUUUAGGAGGGGAAAAAAAAGGGAGAGACAGGGGGAGAAAGCAGUUGAUGAUAUCAUAGAAAAUUUAAUAACAAGAUCAUUCUGUUGGCAUUCAAAUCAUCUGCAAAUUCUUUGGAACUUCACCUUUUGUCGAGCUUGUGAUUGGAACGUUUCUAUUAUUAGAAUUUAGAGGUCAAACUACCGGUUUGUCCUUUUUAAUUUUUGUUGCUCUGUCAAGGACUGAAGGUGUCGCACAUGGUUUAUUAAAAAAGAAGUACACGCUAAAUAAUAUUUUUUUGUUCAAAUUGUUUUCUUUGGCUGACAUAAAUACGUUAUCAUUUCUGUUAGAUAAAGUUAAAAAUAUUUGGCGUUAUAUUUUAUCAAACAGAUUAAUCGAAAGAAAUUAUUGAACGGACAACUCAUCUUAGUUGCUGUCAAACCGUGCCAAGUAUUAUUAUUAUAUUUACCCGUUCGCGGUCUUCGCGGUCAAUGCUCUGCAUAUUUGUCCUGUCCUACAGCAGGCAUGAAAGUGUUCCACCAAACCGUGUACUUACAUUGAUCAUUAUUAUGGCGUGCAAAAUGUUGUUUCUAUGCCAUAAUGUCUUCUUUUAAAAAAAUAAAAAAAUAAAUCCUUUUGAAGAAAGAUCACCUUUUUUCUGGUCUUUUAUUUUUUGGUUGAAACGAAACAAUCGAACCUACUCUUUGACACUGGGAUGGUAAUGGAUGAGUUUUUUUUUAAGCACUCGCCCCGCCUAAUUCCUAAUGAAACAGGUUUAAUUUUAAUAAAUGGAUUUUAGAUAAAUUUAAUAAAUUCUUUUAAAACCUGACGUGGGUUUGGAUAGUGAUCAUCCCGUCCUCUCCUUCACCGAUUAUAUAUAAAAUUAAUUUAAUUUAAUUUUUAUUUUAUUAUUUUUAAUAUAUAAAUAAUAAUAAAAUAUUUUUAAUAAAAUAAAUUUAAAAAUAAUAAUAUUUUAAUUAUUUUUAAAAUAUAUUUAUUUUAAUAUAAUUAAAAUUUUAAAAAUAAUUUUAAAAAAAUUAAAAUUCAAAAAAAAGUUAAAUGGGAACAAGACGAACAUGAAAAUUUAUCAUAUCUAUCUCGUUUCGUUUAAUUUUUUAAAUGGGACGAUAAUAAUUAUUAUUUUGAAUAAAUGGGAUCCUUAUUUGACAUUGGAUCAUAGUGCACAUUGUGCUGGUCUAUCUUGUGCAUUAUAUUUCUCUCUUGAAUUGAUUUUAAUAUUUUGUCAAGUUUUUUUUUUUUAAGUUAUUUGAUUAAAAAUAUGAAAUAAUCUCAAAUUUACAGGUUUAACCUUCCAUAUAUUUCAACUUAAAAAUAAUUACUUUUUAUAAAAUUAUUGAUGUUUUAUUUAAAAAAAAUUAUAUAUAUUUUUUAAAAUUAUAUGAAAAUAAUUUUAACGUUAAAUUUUUUCAAAUUUAAUGUGAAAAAAGUUAUUUUUAUAAAUCUGCAAUUAUUUUAUCUUUUAAUAUCAUAACCCUUUUAUUUUCUGCUUUCUAAUGGUAUGCGGGAUACUUCUUAUACAUUGGAAAAGAAACGUAAUACUAGCAAAAUAGAAGAAAAGUUAGUUAUCCUUCAAUGAGGGCAGCCGUAAGCUGUAUUAGCUGAGUUUUGGGCCAAAAUAGCCCAUUUAUAGAAAUCUCAAUUGACCAUAUUAUCAAAAAGAAAAAAAAAGAAAAAAAUCAAAGUUUAAGUUAAAAUCACCAUUAUUUUUUUAUUGAAAUCUCAAUUUUUUAACUGAUGCUUGAGUUUUUUAAAUGGAGUCUAACCCACAGUUACAGUCGUAGAAUCCAGAGGGUUUGUCUCAUUAAAGAUCUUCGUCUUGACUUUUCUGUCAGUUAUCUUGCAAAUCCAAGUCUAAUCAAAUGGGUUGUAAAGGGGUCCCCCACACCCUACACUAAAGUACGCGGUUGGCGCGCAAUAUAUUUCCCUUUCAUACGUCUUGUCGUCAACCUCUCCUGUAGCCCCUUGGCACGCUGAACCAAGGAAUAUUAGCCCUAUGCCUGCAAUCAUUGGUAGGACACCCGCACGAGUGCCUCUCCCUUCCCUCCUCCUUCCCCUCUCUGCUUUCCUUUCCUUAUCUUUGAAUUUUGGAUCAAAAUGUCCCAUUUAUUAAAAAAAAUAUAUAUAUAGGAUAUAAACACUUUGUAAAACUUAUCUUCAAAUUGAACGCUAUGCACCAUAUCAUAAUUUUUUUUUCAUUUUUUUUUUAUCAUUUUAGUUAAAACCUCAAUUGACAACUGAGGUUUUAUUUUUUAACUGAAACCACAAUUAUCAAUUGAGGUUUCAAUUUUUGAAUUAAAAUUAGAGUUAUCAACUGAGACUUUAUUUUUUAACUAAAAUCCUCAAUUGAUAACUGAGUCUUCAUUUUUAAACUGAAGUCACAGUUAUUAAUUAAAACUUUAUUUUUUAAACUAAAACCGUAAUUAUCAAUUAAGACUUUAUUUUUAAAUUGAAGUCUCAAUUGGUAAUUGCGAUUUCAUUUUUGAACUAAAGUCGUAAUUUAUUGAAUUGAUAAUUGCGACUUUAAUUCAAAAAUAAAGUCGUAGUUACCAAUUAAACUGAAGCAUCAAUUGAUAAUUACGACUUCAGUUCAAAAAAUGAAACAUCAGUUGCCAAUUGCGGUUUCAAUUCAAAAAAUGAAGUAUCGAUUGACAAUUACGAUUUCAGUUCAAAAAAUGAAGUUUCAGUUACCAAUUGAGGUUUCAAUUAAAAAAUAAAGUUUUAGUUAUUAAUCGAGACUUUAACUAAAAUGAUGAAAAAUAAUAUCUUUUUAUGAUAUGACACCUAUGUGACAUCAAAAAGACCAAUUUGAAUAUAAGUUUCCUUAAGUUAUAUUGUUUUUUUAAUAAAUGAACCAUUUUGACUCAAAACUCCUUUUCUUUUCUAGUUUAUACUUUAAUCUAACUCAGCACUGCCUAUUGGGCCACCUGUCCCUGCUUUAACCUCUUCCUUCUUAAUAAUUAAAGCAGUCAAUCUGUCAACUUCUUAACGGUUUAUAUGUUCUUCUCCUUUUUAAUAGGGUGUUUUAUUAUACAUAUAUUUUGAGAGAGGUGUAUUAUUUGACACUAUGCAUCUCCUCCUCUUUCCGAAUUUUGUUGACCCAAACAAAAAAUCAACUUCGGGCCGGUGUUGAAGCUAUAUUGUUCAAUUAGCCUUCUUCCUUUUCUCUCUUUUUUUUUUUUGUUAAAAAAUUAAAACUGCAUUCCUUCUUAUUCCACCCGCACACCCAUCACCAUCGACCCAUCGCCCGCGACAUCGCAAUCGGCCACCCCUUUCUCCCUUCCUUCUUUCCCUUUUUGUCUUCUCUCUCUCCAUACCCAUUUUUCCUUUUCUCCAAAUCUUCCUGUUACUGACCGGCGGCCAACGACGUCAUGCCGUCGGUGCAGCUCAUGGAUCGACCUUGCUGACGAUGCCCACGGUUGCCCCCACCGAGACCCUCACCUCCAUCUUCAUUUUUAUUUUUUAUUAAAUAACUUUAAAAAAAAUAAUUAAAAAUAAUAAAAAUGAAGGAUGAGAGAGAAAGAGGCCAUCAAAAAAGGAAAAACCCACAUUUGUUUGGUUAAAGGGGUGAUUUUUAACACAAACUCCCUCUUUCCUUUCUCCCAACAUACAUGUGGAUUUGGUAAAGUUGUGGGAAAGAUAUGUUGCCAGAUGAGUAUUCACGUGAAACCCAAUAAUGCACACACGUGGGUUUGGAUAAUCCCAUAAUAAAUGUCCAAAAAGGCUUUAUAGAUGAUGCUUGAAGUUUGGGUUAAAAAUAUCCUCUUUAACCAAAAGAAAUGUGGAUUUUGACCCUCUUUGCAUCUUUUGUUCAAAAUGGCCUUUCUCUCUCAUACUUCGUCUUUUAUUAUUAUUAUUUUUAAUUAUUUUUUAAAAGUUAUUUAAAAAAAAAUGAAGAUGGAGGUGUGGGUCUUGGUGGGGGCAACCGUGGGCAUCAUGAUGCAAGGUCGAGCCAUGAGCGGCACCGACGGCAUGACGUCGUUGGCCGGCAAUGAGUAGCAGCCGGAGUCGGAGGAAAGUAAAAAUGGGUAUGGUCGGUAGGAUGGAGAGAGAGAAAGAGGAGUUUUGGGUCACCCAUUUAUUAAAAAAAAAAUAUAUAUAUAGGAUGUAAUCAUUUUUUGAAACUUAUUUUCAACUGUACCAUGUUAUUAAAAAUUUUUUUUUUUAUCAUUUUAAUUAAAGUCUUAUUUGACAAUUGAGCUUCAAUUUUGAACUGAAAUCAUAAUUGUUAACUGAUGUUUCAUUUUUGAAUUAAAGUUGUAGUUAUCAAUUAAGAUUUUAGUUAAUUUUUAAAAUUUAAUUAAAAAUUAUUAAAUUAUAAUUUAUUAUUAAAAUUUAAAAAAUAUACUUAAAUAAUAAAUUAUUUAUAUUUAAAUUUAAGAAUCUAGUAUUACUUUAACAAAUAUAAAUUAAUAAAUAAAAGAUAUUUUAAAUAAAUAUUUUAUUUAUUAAUAAAUUAAUAAUCAUAAAAUAAUAAAUUUAUAUAACAUAUAAAUAAUAUAUAAAAUUGUAUUAUUUAUUAAUUUAAAAUAUAUAAUUUAUUUGUUUUAUGAUAAAUUUAUUUUUAUGGAAAUAAUAAUAAACUUUUAAAUUACAGUUGUUAAUUAAGAUUUCAAUUAUAAUUUUUUUUUACUUUCAAAUUUAAUUAAAAACUAUUAAAUUACAAUUUAUUAUUAAAAUUAAAAAUAUAUAUAUUUUAAUAAUAAAUUAUUAAUACUAUAUUCUUAAAUUUAAAUAUAAAUAAUUUAUUAUUAAAGUAUAUAUUUUUAGUUUCAAUAAUAAUUUUAAUAAUAAAUGUAUUAUUAAAUAUAAAUUAUUAAUGCUAGUUUGGACGAUAGUUUCCGAAAUGGCUAAAGUUGAUUUUUUGUUACGGUCAAAAGGGUACUUUGACCCAAAAUUCUGAUGUUUGCCUCAAACCCCCAAGGUUUUGUAGCUCUCUUACCAUUUAGCCCCUGCUCCCCUUCCAAAAUUUCACCUCUCAGCUUUUGGAUUUCAAGAAUCUUGGACGUCCAUACAUUUCAUACCUGUCUAUAAAAUGAUCUUCUUCUUUUUUGGCAAAAUUUUAAUUCCUGCUAUCACAUAUUAUCAUGACUGAGGGAAUCAGGUACGCUGUCAUAUACAAACUAGUCAAGUCAAAAUUUUUGUACAGAAAACUCCCAAAUUCAAAUCUUUACGUCCAAAAAAAAUCAUCGCCGCUAACGUUUAAUAUUAAAUUUAUCUAUUUUUAAAUAAACUCUGCAACAGUACAGCUUUAAAAGCAAAUUUUAAAAUGGUGGUGCAGCUUUGAAGCCAAUAUGGAUAAAGGGGUGAUUAGACAAGUCGAAACAGAGGAUAUUUCGUGUCCAAAGCAAACUCCUCAGUCCUCAGUCCUCACUCACAAAUCACAACAUCCCACAAUUUGCCAUGUCAUGGCAUGGAGGGAUAGCUUCAUUAUUUUACUAAAUAAAUAUAACUACCCUUUUCGAAAACCCAUUCCCCCCACCACCAUAAUUCAACGAUUGGAAGUUUGGAUCCUAAUAAUGGCACCUCCCGACUCGGACGGCCUGAGACGGACCCAGACUCCCUCCCAUAACGGCUCUGUACUUACAUUUUGUUUACUUUCUCUCAAGCUAUACCUUUCAUGUGCCCAUGGGGGUGCAUGGUUAUCUAUCUAUCCUAUGUUCUCGUGGGUCAUUUUAUAGAUUUUUUUCAUUUUUUCUAACACGUUUGAUAAAAGAAAUUUCUGAACCUUUACAAAAAUGUUUUUGUAAUAGUUCUUAACAUAACUCAUGAACAAGAUUCAAAGUUGAAUUGAAGUAUUUUGUUUCAUAAUUAUGCCAACUUAUUCAAAGUAUUUAUUAAACAUGUUACUUCAUUAGUAGACCUUUGGCUCAUUUGAAUUCAUUUAUGCGGGUUUUAAUUAAUGUAUUUAUCUUAUUUUGUUUAUACGAUUAUAAUUUAAGAAAAAAAAUAAAAAAUAAAUUUAAAUUUAAUAAAUUACUUUUAUAUGUUUUUUUAACUCAUUUUAUUUAUAUCUUUUUAUAAUAAUAAAAUUAAAUAAUUUAAAAAUAUACCAAUCUCAAAUUAAUUUUAAUCAUAUAUAUAUUUUUAAUGUGAAAUUAAAUAUAAAAAAACUAUUUUUAUUUUUGUGGAAAUCAAAUAUCGCCUUAAAUUUUUAUGAAUUAUUUGCGUUACAACGAUAUGAAUCCAAUUGCCACUACUUAGUAAACCUAUUGACCAUACAAAAUGAUAUUUUGAAAAUAUAUUUGAAUUCAUAGGUACGUGACAGGUUGGAAAAAGAAAAAAAGGACAAGAGGAAGGAUGCAAUCAGGCCGAUUUUGUAAUGGAUGUAUUUUUCUUCAUGUUCUCACGCCAUUUUUGCGUAUAUGGAUGUUUUUUCAAACGAGAUAAGACUGCUCAUAGUAACAGCUCAAGCUAGCAUGUGUCGAUACUGCAGAUGAUUUGCAAUCAUCAAAGACAAAUAAUCGGUCAAAUGGAUGAUUACAAAUCGAUUUGAAUGCACGUCCAUCUUGACAAGUGACAAUACAUUUUUAACGAAUUGUGUCACGUAAUCUUUUAAGUUUUCAACCAAGAAGCGAUGUCUCUUUGUCACCACCUGCCAUUAAUCAAAGAUUUUGAGCAUAAAAUCUACCCUCAGACCAUAAUUUUCUUCCUUGACUGACUACUAUUCAUGUAUGAUGAUUGAGUGCGUGAACACUGAUGCCAUUAUCAAUCAAUACUUCAAUAGUGUGUUGCAUUAUGGCCGUUGCUGCCUGAUUUUUAAUGAAUAUAUAUAUAUAUAUAUAUAUAUUUUUUUUUUUUUUUGGGAUAAUUGGGAAGAAAACAAGUGUGGUUGUUGACCAAUGCCCGAGACAACGAAGAUGCAAUGCACUUCUGAAACAUUAUUGGCAGUUUGUGAUGUCUCUGGACUCUCUACCUGGCGAAUUUUUCUGGUUUUUAUUUAAAUAUGUGAAGCAAUGGGCAGAGAUCUUUUAGGGCUGGGAUCUAAUUUCCUUACUGAAAAUGAGGAAUGGUAAACAAAUGGUGGUUUAAGAAGAGUGAUGGUGGAAAUGGAAAGUGGGGGUGGGGGGUUUCCUUGUAGGGAAAAAGCAUUGUGAAUCAUCCAUUCUAAAUAAGCCUUCAUGGAUGGUCCAUUUUUCGUUCAUUUCUUUUUGGCCCAUAGUUAAUUGUUCAUUGCAUAACACUUGUGGCCACCGACAUCACAAUAAUGCUGGGGUUGAUUAUAAGUGGGUCGGCCAUUGAAUUUAGGGCAUUUACAUUGCUGAAUUACGCAUGCAUUAGUUUGAGAAGGUACCCAGAAACGAGGGACUCCGUAUGGGCUCUGUAUGAUGUGUUUUGGGAGCAGAGGAGGAGGCAAAGGAUAUGGCUCUACACGGAGGAUGAUUUGUGCCUUCGAACCACUUCCCUGUUUUGCGGAGAUCUUGGGCGUUUAAUUUUGACAAUCCAUUUGGUACAUGAAAAUCCAAUUAUGGUUUGUCGACAUCGUGUGGGGAAGAAAAACAUAAAAAUAAAAACAGAGAAGAAGCAUGCAAUCGACUCUGAUUUUGUAAUCUGCUACUUAAAAUAUCAGAGUUGACCAUUUACUCUUUUCUUUUUCUAGAAAAAAUGCAUGGAAUUUGGUAUUGGAGCCUGUAGGGGGAGAGCCCCUCUCCAUUCUGAUUUUCGGGGGCAAAAGCAAUGCCUUUGACCUUUGGUCUAAACAAUUGGGUUAUUUGGAAUAGGUAUUUUCUCUGCAAAUAAGACCAAGCUUUCAAAAUUAAAAAUACAUAUGUUUUUUUUGUGGGUAAUGAAUCGUAUUACAUUUCCCACAAAACGACAGAAAAAAAACACUAUAAAAGAAGGAUAUUGACUUGAUAGCUUUCAUUAAGUUUUGGUACCUUGGGUUGCUUAAGCGACGUUUAAAGGUGCAGAAAAUGAACCCUCCUUUCUUUUCAAGAGAUGGGGAGAACCAGGGAAAGGUAGAUGUUUGAUUUCGUUUUUGCUUACACCAAGUAACCGGUGUCAGAGGAAGAGAGAAUUUUGUAUGUCAGAGGGUGAGUGGCUGAGUCGCUGAGUGAGAGAGAGAGUCUCUAUCAUGUCUGACUUGGAGUUUUUUCUCCUCCUCCUUGCGUCAAUCUCAGUUCCCCUUGUGAUUCUCAAUCUGAUCAAAAGAAAGCAAAGCGGACUUAAUCUACCUCCGGGAAACACGGGUUGGCCUUUUCUGGGUGAAACCAUCGGCUAUUUAAAGCCGUACUCGGCCACUUCAAUAGGAGACUUCAUGGAGCAACACAUAUCAAGGUAAACCGUCGAAACCAAAUUGAACCCAAGAUUCUUGUACCUUCUUCCUUUUCCCUUUCCUGAUCGGGGUUCAGUUAAAUCUGCAGGUUCGGAGAAAUCUACAAGUCCAAUCUGUUUGGCGAGCCAACCAUAGUCUCAGCGGAUUCUGGGCUGAACAGAUUCAUACUACAGAACGAAGGAAAAUUGUUUGAAUGCAGCUAUCCCAGAAGCAUAGGUGGAAUUCUUGGGAAAUGGUCCAUGCUGGUUUUAGUUGGAGACAUGCAUAGAGACAUGAGAACCAUCUCCCUCAACUUCUUGAGCCAUGGCAGGCUUAGGACUCAUCUCCUACCAGAGGUGGUGAAGCACACUUUGCUUGUUCUAAGCUCUUGGAAGGAGAAUUGUACAUUUUCUGCUCAAGAUGAAGCUAAGAAGGUAAGACUUUUUUUAUCCUUUCUCCAAAUUUACAUUCUCAGAAACAAUUUAAACGUUUAUAGUUGGAUAUGAAUAGUUUUUUAAGGAAUGCUUAGCUGAUUGAGGACCAAUUUCACAGUUUACCUUCAAUCUGAUGGCAAAACAUAUCAUGAGCUUGGAUCCCGGAAAGCCGGAGACUGAGCAGCUUAAGAAAGAGUAUGUUACUUUCAUGAAAGGAGUGGUAUCUGCUCCUUUGAAUUUCCCUGGAACUGCAUACAGAAAAGCCCUACAGGUAAGGGAUGAAGUAGAGCUAAAAAGGAAAUAGUCGGUAAAGUGAAUAACUUAAAUUUACAUGAAAAUUAUGAAAUAUGAAGAAACUCCAAACAACCCAUUUGACAAAUCUUCUGGUUUUGUGUUUCUGCUCAACAGUCUCGGUCCACCAUCUUAAAAUUUAUCGAGCUGAAGAUGGAAGAGAGGAUUCAGAAACUGAGGGGAGGAGGGUUUGAGAAUAUGGAGGAUGACGAUCUUCUUGGAUGGGUGCUGAAGCAUUCCAACCUUUCAACUGAGCAAAUCCUGGACUUGGUACUGAGCUUGCUCUUUGCUGGCCAUGAAACUUCAUCAGUAGCAAUAGCUUUAGCUAUCUACUUCUUGGAAGGCUGUCCCAACGCCGUUCAACAGCUAAGAGUAAGCAUCAUACAACCAUCUCUCCACUCUUUUACAUUUAUUCUUUAUUAAUAAUAGACACCCCUUCUCUUAAAUCAUCAUAAUGUUCUCUCCUCUACAUUCAGGAAGAACACCUUGAAAUUUCCAGGGCCAAGAAGCAAUCAGGAGAGUUGGAAUUGAGUUGGGAAGACUACAAAAAAAUGGAAUUCACUCAAUGUGUAAGCUCUCUUCACCAUCUUUUCCAUCAAAAAAAAAAAAAACAAAGGGUUCUGUUUGAGAUUGUUCCAUAUAAAAACAUUCUGUAAUGGCAUGUGAAGGUUAUUAGUGAGACACUGAGGCUUGGAAAUGUGGUUAGGUUUCUACACAGAAAGGCCCUGAAAGAUGUCCGGUACAAAGGUAGGAAAUUGAAUUGAAAUGUGUAAUUUUCUCGCCGGAAUCUGCAGACACACUGUUUUGAGUUAUUAAAAUUGUAAUUAAUUUGCGUGCUUUUUUUUCUUCAAAAUUUGAUAAAGGGUAUGACAUUCCAUGUGGGUGGAAAGUGCUUCCGGUGAUUGCAGCAGUGCACUUGGAUCCUUCCCUUUUCGACCAACCUCAACACUUCAAUCCUUGGAGAUGGCAGGUCAGUUCUUUCCUUGGUUCAAAACUUCAACUUCAACAACAUACACCUUUAUUGUUACCAUCGUUUUUCCUCUUUCCUUCAUUUUCUUUGAAAAUUUUUGGAUUUAACAUAUUUCCUACUAAGUCAUAUCAUCAAAAGGAGGAUAAACAAAGUCAUGAUCUAUGGUAUGAAGCACGGCCUUUAGCAUGUAAUUGCCUUAUAAAAAUUGAAUUAUAAUUAAAUUAAAUUAUGCUAAAAUUCAAUUCUAUAUCAAAAAAAUCAUUAUACUUCCAAAAAAAGAAUACCAAAAUGCGUUGUCAAAAUUAAUUUUUUUUAUGUCUUCACAUAUUGUGAACUCAAAGAAAGGUGAGUACGUACACUAUUACAAUUUCUUUUCUUUUUCCUUUUAAAAAAAAAUUCAUAAUGCAUUAUCUAGGUUUUUAAAUAAUUAAAAAAAUAAAAUAAAAUAAAAUGGAUUAAUGGUUAUAAUGAUUGGACGGUGCAUACAGGUGUUUAGAUGGGUCUAAAGGUAUGCUCCUCCUCUUCUUUCUCAUGAUGACACUCGUGGGUGAGGAGGUUAAAGCUAUUUAUCAACCAUGGUCCAAACCCAAAUGUUUUUUUUUUUUCGUUAAUUUUUAUCUGAAUUUACUUGGGUUAUUACUUAGAUCAUGUAUCUUUUUUAUGCCGACAAGUUUUUAUUUCCGAUGUUGAAGUGAUAGGAUUUAAAUUCCGUAACAUAUGGAUAGGAUAUGGCUAAAAAUCGACCUCAGCAAACAAAUUCCAAGCAAAAUUAUAAAAGAAAGAAUUUAAUAUGAUGUAAAAUUACAAGCCGAGCAAGAGAAAACAGAGGAGAAAGAGUAGGAAAAAGGGAAUGAUAGGUGUAGGCAAAAUGCGAGCAAAAAUUGAAUUUUUGCAAUAUGCUGAACUGUCAUUAUCAAGGAUGCUAUGGUACGGAGGUGGGAACCGAGAGAUGUGAUCAACGCACAGCUUUUCCUCUCAGGGGCGUGUGGGGAGAGGGUGGGGUUUUGAGAUGAUUAAAGCCCCAUGUGGCUGUGGGGUUCUCACGUGCACGUGCAUGAGUGCUUUCUCUGCCUGCCCCUGUCACUAACUGGUCCAACAUAAAUUCCAUAACUGAACACACUCUAUUAUAUGCUCUCAGCCACCAUCCAAAUAAUGCUUCGCACAUAAUUAAUCUUAUGAUCAUGUUCUUCUCUCUCUCUCUCUCUCUCUCUCUCUCUCUCUCUCUCCAACCGUAAAUGCAUUAUACUUGUGGUUUACUCUAUAAAACAUUCCUUGGAAAUAUAAUAGUGUGAGUUGAAAAUAAUUUUGAAAAAGCAUUAGUUUGAUUAUUAUGUUAGUUGAAAAUACUUCUAAUAAAACAUUCCGUUUGAUAUAUUUUUUUUAAAAAGAAACAUUAUUAUGUUAGUUGAAAAACCCUUUUUCCAUGGCCCCUUUUGCCCAAGAAAAACGUUCAUGUAAAGGGAUUUUAGCGUGUGACGCAUGUGUUGGGGCAAUCAAAGGGGCGCAUGAGAAAAGGAUAGGGGAGUAUUGAUAUACAUGUAUAUGUGCUAAAAAGCCUCUCUGGAACCUCAAUGAUAUAUUUUUUUUUCUUUUGGGGGUGUGUGGUAGCAGAAUAAUGGUAACCGAGGAAAUUCGACUAGCUGGAGCACAGCCACGAAUCAAAACUUCAUGCCAUUUGGGGGAGGACCACGGCUAUGUGCGGGCUCUGAAUUGGCCAAACUGGAAAUGGCGGUGUUCAUCCACCAUUUGGUUCUCAACUACAACUGGGAGUUGGUUGAUAAGGAUCAGGCUUUUGCCUUCCCAUUCGUCGAUUUUCCGAAGGGCCUACCCAUCAAGGUCCGACACCACAAUUUCACGUGAAAACGGCCUCGUUCGUCACUCUCCGCAGGCCUCAGCUCACAUGUUGGAUAUACAAACAGAAGAAAUCCUCAUUUCUCCCUCCACGUCAGCCUGUUGCUCUUGGAUUUUCCAACGGCCUAGUCUUUUUAUUUUUAGUUGUUCACAUGAACAAAGGGAAGACAUAAAAGAAGUGAAGUACAGUUAUGUUAGGACCACAACCCCCGAACCCCAACCCCAACCCCUCUUUGUAAAUUUUAAUUUUUCCCUGAGCCUUGCGGGCCUGGGAGUCUAUUCAUUAUAUUUAUAUGUGAUAUGGUCUUUCCUUUGCUUUAAUGUAAUUCUCUUUCCCUGCCUCCCGAGAAUUAUCUCAUUUCUCUCAGCAUUAUCUGAAUAUAUCUCUUGGAUGGGACUCCUUGGAUGUUGGGCCAUUUUCUCCCUUAUUAUCAACCACCAUACCAACGUGGGGUGCCUCUUCAAGGGCUCAUUAAGACCCCCAUUUAUCACUGUUCCACCAUCGCCACAGGAAUAGGGAACCAGGCUUCAUUUGUAACUUUCAGGAAAGUGAUAUUUUCUUGAUCCUGCCGGUGCCCAACGGGAUGGAACCAAGAUGGGGUAUAAAGGCUGUUUUGUCCUUUGGGAGCUAUUCCCGUUCUCUCUUGUUUUCCCGUUCCGCAAAUGUCCAACAGUUUCUGGGUGGUACCGUUUUUUUUGCUCUUCUUUUUAUCAUCUUGGAGGGUCCCGAUCCAAAUAAUUACGUGUGUCCGCAGCACAAGUGGCGCAUCUUUCUCUGUUCAGGGACCCUUUUAUUUCCCCUCUUUUCUCCGGUGGCAGUGGGGCUGUAACCGGUGGAUGGAUUGUUGCAUACCAACCUUAAAAUAAUACAAAGUACAACGUGAUUUAACAACAAAAUAUAAAUGUAGAUAGGGGCAUAGAUUUGGUUGUUGAAGACUGAUCCGUUUGGCUAACCAAAGUAUCCAUCGCUUGACAAUAAUUUUUUUGGACCACAUGGUCAUUUCAACAUGCCAACCCAGUAAAUAUUCCAAACGGAAAAGAUAACGAGUUGAUAUUUUGAGGCGCAUUGAGUACAUAUCAAGAGAGUGGCUCGACAAGCCAUUUGCAUGUGCCAAGCAUCUAGUCAGGAGGGAUAUCCAUAUGGAGGAGGCUGUGGUGGAAAUAUCCUGCUCCACAAGUUGCGUUAGGUACACAAUUUGAAAGGGAGAAGGGGGUAUGAUUUUGAGUCUUUGAGACAUCUUUGGUAAUAAUAAUAAGUACACAAAUUCCAUCCGCAAUGCUUAGCAUAUUUUUGCCUGUGUAUUGGUUUUAAGUAGUUUUCAUUGACAGUGCAUUAUUGGAAUAAUUGAGGGAAGUCCCACGUACAAAAAGCAUCCAAUUCCUAGAUUUGACCGGUCCUUGGUCCCUAAGUUUGUAGAAAACAGUCUAUUCCCCUUUCAUAACUCCGCAUGCAAUCCUAUUGGCUAUCGGUGUUGACGAAUCCCUAUUGCAUUUUGAAGGUACAGAAUGCAAGCCCAUCCGAGUUGGGGGGGGGGGGGGGGGGGGGGGGGGGGGGGGGGGGGGGGGGGAAAAAAAAAAAAGGGGGGGGCCCGGGGGAACCUUGGGGUUUUUAAACCGGGGGGAAACGGGGGGCCCCCCGGGGGGUUUUAAAAACCUUUUUUUUUUUCGGGGGAAAAAAAAAACCCCCCCCCUGGGUGGGGGAAAACCCCCGGGGGGGGGGAAAAAAAUUUUUUUUUUUUUAGGGGGCAAAAAGGGGAAAAAAGGGGGGGUGGGGGGUUUUCUCCCCCAAAAAAAAAAAAAAGCCCCCCGGGGGGAAGGGGGGGGGAAAAAAAAAGGGGGGGGGGAAUUUUUCCCGGGGGGGGGGGUUUUUAAAAAAAAAAAAANNNNNNNNNNNNNNNNNNNNNNNNNNNNNNNNNNNNNNNNNNNNNNNNNNNNNNNNNNNNNNNNNNNNNNNNNNNNNNNNNNNNNNNNNNNNNNNNNNNNGGGGGGGGGGGGGGCAGUGGAUGAGGCAUUAAAAUCAACAUGGGAUACCUCGGGUACAUCUUGUCAUUUAGUACCAUGGGAUACCUGUAGCCUCCUCAUGGCAUUUACUAUCACUUCAAUUUCUCUAAGGCAAAAGAAACUCAAUCCACUUGAUCUUGUUAAAUCACUCUGGGUGAGUUACAAACUAUUUUUCUUUGUAAUGGAGCAUAGAGAGAGAUAGAGAGAUGUUUGGAGUCUUUCUUCUCAAAAUUCAAAUGAAGUCUCUACUGGUAAGCUAGGUGUGAAAAAUCAUGAAGUGGGUGAAAUUUGCUACGUGUGUGGAGUAUUUAAUAGAAGAUAACAAAGGCCAACAACCAGAAUUGAAUGCAAUAAGAAAGGUACCGGAAAAAUUUUGAAGGAGAGUAGUGAUGGUCAGGUGGAGGGGGAGGGAGAGGCGGGAGAGGGGAGGGGGGCUUACUCUUUCUUAUUGAUCUGACCAGAGCCCCCUUGUUAGGUUUGCUUUCGCUUUCCAAUGUCGUUUGUUAUGUUCCCUUCUCAAUGAUUCAUGGGUUUCCGUUAAAAUACAUGACUCACUCUGUGGCCUGGGAAGCUGCACGUUUGAGGAUUUUAAAUUCGGGGGACAUGAAAAUACUGUUGAGAGCUACUCUACGAAGAGGGACUCCUCUCCCACUUCCCCAUCAUUUUCCUUGUUUCUGUUUUUGCCAUGGGGAGCUUCCACCCCCUAUCCUCCCCUUUCCUCUUUCCCCCGGCCCAUUCCUUUUGUUUACCAACUGCCGACACAUGCAACUAAAUAAAUCCCUAUUUCCAUAUAAUUCAGUUGUUAAGUCUUUUCGCAAACAAACCAGCUGUGGACCUAUUUUAUAUAUUGAUUAACCCACUCCACUCCUGGGACAAGUCCAUUCAAAUCUUGAAUUACGGCCCAAAAUGAUAAUUUUUUCUAUGAAUUAUUUUGAUUUGCCACUUCCAUAUCCUGUAUUAUCAAGGCUAAGAUAUGAAAUCAUCUUGAUGCGAAAACCAUGCUUUGUGAAUUUGAACUUUCAGACCCCAAUGGCCUGAAGCUCAGGGCUGAAUCAGGCUGAGAAGAAGCCGGUUCGAUAUUUUGCCCGGAGGACUUUUCCCGCAAGUUACAUUGGGCCAGUUCUGUUAAUUAUCUCCAUCCAAAUUGAAGGAGAAGCCCAACCAAAAACUUCGACUAAGGAUAUAUGAGUAAUGGGCCCCUGAGGCUUUGUCUAUGCUUCGACUGUCAAAGGUAAUGGGCCCAUUUCCCCAUGAUUCCAUAUAUACUUACAGGAUAGGAGCUAGUGAUGUGGACUACUUGGUGAGGUCUUGCGGUUGGCGAACCGUACCAUUUUAGGACUUUGAUUUGAGGCGGAUUGGACUUGGAUCCAAAGGGAUUUUUUACAUGAGUACGGUACGAUUUCUUCAAAAUAAAAAUAAAAAUAAAAUUAGGGAUAAAUGGACUCUUCAAAAAGACGAUUUCUUAGAAAUAAAUAAAUAAAAUUAUUAUAGGAAAAAUACUCUCUUGAAGACACACGAUUUCACCUAUAAAAAAAAUAUUUUCAAAAUUUUAUUUUUUCAUUUCCUUAAAAUAUUAAAGGAAUAAAAAUAUUAAAGAUUAAUAUUUUUAAUUUUCAAAACUUAUAUAAUAAAAUUAAUUUAAAAAUUAAAUCAAAACAAAAUUAUUUAUUUUGUAAAUAAUUAUUUAAUAAAUUAAUAAUAAAUUUGUUUUUUAUAAACUCAUUUUUCACAUAAAACUGAUAAUAAUUUUUUUUUAUUCUAAAGAAACAAAAAAUAAUAUAUAAAUAAUAUUAUCUUAUAAAUAAAAAAAUAUAAAACUAAAUUAUUUUUAUUAGUUAUAAUUAAUUGCAUUAAUUUAAAGAUAAAAUUGAAGAUAAAGACCAAUAUAUUUUUUAAAUCAAUAACUAAUUUAAUAUAAAACUUGUGAAUGAUUAUUCAAAUUGAUGUAUAUCUCUUUGUGACUCUCUAUAAAAGAGACGUGCUUUAAUUUUUUUUUUUAUAUUUGGUUUUUGUUUUUUAAGAACGUUUUUAAACAAAGUGAGAAUUUGCUAGUUUUUAAAAAAUAUUUGAAAGCUAAAAAAUUAUUCAAUUAAUAUUAGAAAGUAAUAGAACUAAAAAUUGAUGGAAUUAAUAUUAAAAUAUGAUAAAAUUCAAAAAUCAAUUCAAUUAAUAUUAUAACGUGAUUAAAGAAAAUUAUUCCGGAAUGAUUUUGCUAAUUUUUGCUUUACAUGUAACUUUUUUCCAUUUUUGUUACUAAGCAAAUAAACUAAAAAUUAAGUAAAAUCGGUAACGUCAUAAAUAUAUAUUUUAUAUAUUAUUAAAUUUUAAAAAAUAAUAAAUUUUAUCUAAAUUUUGACACUCUGUUUGUUGAGUUUUUUCACAAAUUUUUUUACUUGUAAAAGUCAUCAAUCAUCAUAUAUUAUAUCUCUAACACAAUAUAAAAUGUUAUACACUCAUAAUGUCAAUCAACCCAAUAUUUAUCAAAUAAUCAAACUAUUUCUAACUCACAUCUAAAUAUGAGCAAUAAACCAACAAUGACCAAAUUAUCAAAGAGUUGUUAACACAUUAUCCAUAAUAGACAAUACAAAUAUCAACCACAACACUUAAAUAGUUACUCAAAAUAUAACAUAACAAUGUUUGAGUAUUUAUGAACAAUUUUUGCAUACUAAUAAAUAUAAAAUUCAUGUCUUCAUUCAUUUUGAAAAUUGGGAUGUUGAGAUUCAAAAUGAGCAUAUGGAAAACCAAAGUUCUCCACAUCAAGCCUUUCUAUAGCCACGCCCCCACCAUUCUCGUCAUCUACAAAAAUAUUGAAUAUAUAUCAACAAGAACUCAUUUUUGAAGAAAAAAAAAAUAAUUAUUGAACUUUUAUAAGUUUAAAUAUUCUACUAACCAAUGUGAGAACUUGAACCUUCCACUUCAUUUAUUAGAAUUGACCCUUCUUCAUAUAAAAGAUUUUUCAAUUCUUCAACAUCUAGCUCUAUUGGCUCAUCCUCAUCAACCAUCCAAAAAUUUGUCUCAUCAAUGCAUGCAUAGUCAAUGGGAUCAUAGGUUUUUUUCUUAUUAUAAAAGCUAAAAAAAGAAAAACAUAUAAUUAUUCAUAAUUGUGAAUGAAAUAAUUUAAAUUCAAAACAACUAAAAAAAACAUUUAUACUGAUCUUUUAACCUCAAUUUAUAAUGAACGUAUACAAGAUCAUUAAGUCUUUGAUGUUUCAAUCUAUUCAUUCUUUUGGUAUGUAUAUGUUCAAAGACACUCCAAUUCCUCUCACAUUAAAAAAAAAAACGAUGCAGUUUGACUCAAUAUUUGAAUGCCCAACUUUUGCAAAUGCGGUGCACUAUAAGCUUCCACCAUUCAUCUAGUUACCAUUUUCACAUUAAAAAUAAGAAAAAAAAAACAUUAGCAAGUUUAAAAUAUUAAAUAGUCAAUAGGUAACUAAUGAAAAAAAACAAAUACACUAAUAAAUUAAAAUUAUCUUUUACCAAGUUGAAGUAUUUCACGUGAAGAAUUCCCAAGGUCUCUUUCAAAACUUCUCAAUCAAUCACGAAACAACUUCAUUUCAUUCAUCGUAUCAAACUUGCCUUUCGGAACUUUCUGAUCAAUAACAUCUAUGACACCUCCAAUAUCAGUUGGCUUAUUACAAUAGUUUUCCUUAUCAUAUUGAAAACAUGGAUUCAACCAAUACGUUGUUGAAUGAAUGUUUUUCUUUAGUUAUUGAUCUCAAUAUUGCUUUAUGAUCUCUGUAUAAGGCUUGUAUAGUCUUCUUUUGUUAUGGUUAAAUAAUUUAUUGAUGCCUUCAUACAUAUAUCCCAUCAAAGGUCUCUUAUCACAAUAAAAAAUACGCAAUAAGCACAUUAGUGGAGACAUGAAAUUCACAACUAUUAAACAAUAAUUCCAAAAUCUAUUAACCAAGAUAAUGGAAACUGCAACUCUGCUUUUAUUACCCCUUGAAUAUCUAGAGUCCGCAAAGAACUUGCUAGUCACAAAAACUUGCAAGUCAUAUUUAUGAUCAUGAAGACUCUUAAGUGCAAUGAAUGUAAUAAUAAAGCGAGUUGCACUAGGUCGAAGAUUCUCUAUUCAUCCUUCUUUUUUUCUUAACCAACUUAACAAAGUAACAUAAUUAUACACAAAAAUUGUCACCUUUGAUGCAUGUCUUACAAGUUCAGCAACAUGGUCCAUCUUACUAAUAUCCUCAAAGGUUAAAUUAAGACAAUGAGCUACACAAAGUGACCAAUUGAUGUGUUUAUGCUUCUGAGAAAUCGAUCUCCAAAUGGCCACAAAAUUUGUUGCAUUAUCAAUUACUACAUGAACUACAUUGAGUGGACCCACCCAUUCAAUCACCUCAUCAAAUAACUAAAACAAAUUAGUUGCAUUCUUGACAAUAUCUGAAGCAUCAACAUAUUUCACAAACAAUAUUCCUUCAUGACAAUAAACAAGGAAUUUGAUGAGUGUUCUUUGUUUAUUAUCUAUCCAACUAUCACUCAUUAUUGUACACCCCAACUUUUGCAUAAAUUGCAUGAUAAGAGUCCACAAGUAACUGAAUUUCCUUCUUGGCAUCCUUUAAAAGAUUAACCCACAAUUGAUGGUAAUUUGGACCCUUAUAUCCAGAACCAAUUAUAGAUAUAACAUCCAACAUUGACUUGAAGUAGAAGGAAUUCACAACAUUAGUAGGAAUGCAUGCAUCGUAAAAGAAUCUCCCAACAACCAUAUUUGCCCUCCAAACAACUUAUUUCCCAACUAAUACACUCCUCAUCGAAGGUUGAGCUUCUUAAGUAUUUUUUGGUGCAAAAUACUUAUCCACUAUUGACUUUUUUCUUUUUUCCACUACUAGCUACCAUAGGAUUUUGUAUUUCUUGAACCUUUUUUUCACCUUCUGUCAUAUCCCUUUCGAAUUGUGACACAUUAAGACCAUAAGGAUUUCUAUAUUCAUAUGCUUCUUGGGUCGCUUUCUUGGAAUUCACAAACUUUUGCAAAUAAUUUUUUGUUCGAAACCUAACAUUAGGAAAAACUGAUUUACAAAGACCAAUAUUCUCUUUCACUUCAGUAAGGUGUUGCUUCAUUUUAUGAAUACCCCCACUUUUUGCAACUUUUUUACAAUACAAUCGAAUGAGAGUUUUCUUUCCAUUUGUAUAUCUUUCUUUAGAAACAUGCUCUCAUGCAAGUCAGUAUGAAUUGACAGUUGAAUCUUGAUCAAAGGAUGGGGUCAAGAUUGAUUACAUUUUUUAUUUAUCUAUCAAAUUAUAAACAAAAAUCACAAUUUUAAUUAUAAAAUUAAAUAAUCAAGUCAUCAACAAUUUAAUUUUUUAAAAAAUAAAAAAAUUCAAGUCAUCAACAAUUUAUAAAAACCUCACAUUAAUUUAGAGAAUCAAGUCAUCAUUCAUCAACAACUUAAAAAAUCAAAGGAUUAAAAAAAAAAUUGAAAUUUAUUACCAAAUUUUUUUUCAAAAUGAGAAAUUUACUUUCAAAUAAAAUAUUUAUUGAAAAUUUAAAAAUCAGAAUUUUGUUUGAAAAUCAACAAAUUAUUUUAAUUCCUAAUGUUUUAUUUUUUCAAUGAUUUCAUUAAUUUAUUUAAACUCAAAUAAAAAAAAUUUAAAUCAAUAUAAAAUUUUAAAAAAAUGAAAAUAAAGUGUAUAUAUAUAUAUCUAAAGUCUAAACUAAAUAAAAUAUGUAAAUGAUUCAACUUUCCAUUGUAAUAAAUAAAUCAACAAAAAUUUCAAUAAUUUCAAAAAAUUAAAAUUUCAAUUUGCAAUAAAUAAACAAAUGAAAAAAUUAUAAAAAUUAAAUAUUAAACAUAACAUUAAAAUUAUAAUCAACAAAACAUUAAGACAUUAAAUAUAAAAUAUAACAAUUAUUAUUAUUUUUUUAAAAAUGGAAGUUUAAGAUUUCACUUGCUUCUCAACGGCAGGAAGGUGUGUCGGCGACGAGAAAGUGGGGGUCCGUCUACAAUAGGCGGGCUGACGGCAAGCAGGGACGACAAGUGUCGACAACUGUUGCUCAAGCUAGGACGAUCGCAAAGGGUGAAGAAAAUAUGGUUUUAUAGUCAUCAAAACGACGUCGCUUUGAUGCUGUAAAAAAUAAAUAAAUAAAUAAAAUUGUUUGAAUCGUCCGGUUCACUUGUCAGACAGUCGAUUCACCUAAUCCAAUUCCGGUUCAUCGAACCAAAUCGAAACUGUGACCGUCCGGUCCGAUUUUUAAAACCAUGAAAAGAUCAAUAAAGGACACAAGAUCAUGCAUCAAGGGAAGAGUUUCAAAUUUGAAAAAUAUUUUCAGGUCUUUAUGCAUGUAAGGUUGACAUGUACUAAGUAAGGAUUGCAUUAGCAUGUUCAAAGUCAUCAAACCUUUUCACUUUUGAUGAAAUUCUCAUUCAAUUUAUUUGUCAACUAUCACAAGCUUUUUAAAAAAAUUGAUGAAGUGAAAACCGUCUUUCAAUUGAUGUCAUUAAAACUUAAAAGGUUUUCCAAGAUUGUUAGAAGUAUAAUCUAGCCAAUUCCUCAACUUUUUAAUGCUUAAAAAUUACAAAAUUGUAAAAAUGGAAAAUCAAAAGAGCUACUAGUCAACCACUUGAUUAACCGAUUAAGUAGGUUUGAAGAUGAGACUAACGAAUGGAUACUAAUCUCAUAAUCAAUGGAGUUCUUAACUUUUCAACUAUCACCGAUAGCCCUUAAUGGAUAGUUGUUGAUCUAUACCUAGUCAAUUAGUUACAUUGAAAUUGUGUCUAAUAGCUAAUUUCAAUUUCAAACUCUUAUUUAAAGUUCUUGGACUUUAUUUAUGAGGUUAGUAAAAAUCAUUCAUGCUUUACAUUAAAGAGUUUUCAUUGUUUUCUUUGAGUACACCUACCCCUAAACUUGAAAAUUAGUGCAUGUUUGAUCAUAAUUUUCCAUUUGUAGUUGAACUUCAUUGUAAACUAGAAAUUUUAAAAAAUGAAGUAAAUCAAGUUAAUCACCUAUUGUAUCUUUUGUGAUGAUUUGUUUUAAGUGUGAUGUAUUACUUCAUUGUAAGUCCUAUCCAAUAUGCAUCACAUACACUAGUACACUCAUAAUGGAAAAUUUAUCCUGAUAGUUAAAGACAAGUCAUCUCUCUAAUUAAAAAUUAGUGCACUACAAUUUCUAUUGGAUUGCCCAAAUCCAUGAACUGAUUGUAAACAACUUAUCUAUUUACAAAAAACUCAUGACUUGUAUCAUUUGUGUAAAUUCUAAUGCACCAAAGUCAUGUACAAUAUAAGAAAGAUAGGUUGAAUGUUUAAAUCAAUGUUAAUGCAUAAAAAGGAUAGCAAAGAAAUAGUCAAGUGUGAUUUUGUUACAUUAUAUUUUGCUUUUAAAGGCUCGAUCCCAAUAGGAAAUAUGUACAAGAUGAUUACAACUAAAGUUGGUUUUUUAAGCUAAAAGUAUUUUUUUGCCACUAGAUAAUCAAAGUCAACAUAAGUUGUCUUGUUGCAAGAGCAUCGGAGGGCUACUAUAAUAGAUGAAUAUCUUACUCUUCUAAGAAAUGAAACUUAGUAUCUUGUUCCUUUUCUUGUGAGCAAAAAAAGUGAUUGGGUGUGAGUGGGUGUUCAAGAUUAAUAUAUAUAUAUAUAUAUGACACUAUAAAUAAAUAUAAGGCUAGGUUUGUGGCAAAGAGAUUUCACCAAAAAGUAGGUUUUAACUCUAACGAAACCCUCAACCUAGUGAUAAAGCCAAGUGCAAUCAUAGUAGUGCUAAUUAUAGCUCUUACUAGGAAUAUUAGAUGGUUAGACAUUAGCAAUACAU
RNAcentral lists this long non-coding RNA (29139 nucleotides) under Vitis vinifera (wine grape). Its description in RNAcentral is "long non-coding RNA (VVIN_LNC001167)". Lineage: Eukaryota; Viridiplantae; Streptophyta; Magnoliopsida; Vitales; Vitaceae. The record is from RNAcentral.